UACAGAGGGUGCAAGCGUUAAUCGGAAUUACUGGGCGUAAAGGGCGCGUAGGUGGUUAUGUAAGUGAGAUGUGAAAGCCCCGGGCUUAACCUGGGAAUUGCAUCUUAUACUGCGUGACUGGAGUGCAAUAGAGGGUAGUGGAAUUUCCGGUGUAGCGGUGAAAUGCGUAGAUAUCGGAAGGAACACCAGUGGCGAAGGCGGCUACCUGGAUUGACACUGACACUGAGGCGCGAGAGCGUGGGGAGCAAACAGG
This 253-nucleotide ribosomal RNA is filed under the name uncultured bacterium. Its description in RNAcentral is "partial 16S ribosomal RNA". It matches the Rfam family "Bacterial small subunit ribosomal RNA", at positions 524 to 776 of the family's 1533-position model. The record is from RNAcentral.